GCCUGGAUGGCGGAACUGGUAGACGCGCUAGACUCAAAAUCUGGUUUCUGCAAGGAAGUGGGGGUUCGAUUCCCCCUUCAGGCA
RNAcentral lists this transfer RNA (84 nucleotides) under Patescibacteria group bacterium. RNAcentral describes it as "tRNA-Leu". It matches the Rfam family "tRNA". From Rfam's summary of the family: Transfer RNA (tRNA) molecules are approximately 80 nucleotides in length. Their secondary structure includes four short double-helical elements and three loops (D, anti-codon, and T loops). The record is from RNAcentral.